RNAcentral lists this long non-coding RNA (625 nucleotides) under Triticum aestivum (bread wheat). RNAcentral's name for it is "long non-coding RNA (TAES_LNC027385)". Lineage: Eukaryota; Viridiplantae; Streptophyta; Magnoliopsida; Poales; Poaceae. The record is from RNAcentral.
AAAUGUUGCGAUAUCAUCAUAAUUAACUAUCAUCUAUUUUAUUUCCUGAAAACACAAACUAUCAUCUAUUUUAUUUCCUGUUAAUGUGAUUUGCACUUCAUCUUUACAGAGCCAAAUCCUAGCGCGCCCAGCCGCUGCUCGUGAACCCCGCCUCCAUCAGCUCCACUUCACCGAAGCCGUCAGUCCACAGGAAUAGGGGUAGCGGAUCCCCUAUAGCGGCCAAAUCCCGGUGCACCCAGCCGCUGCUCAUGAACCCCGCCUCCAUCAGCUCCACUUCACCGGAGCCGUCAGUCCACAGGAGUAGGGGUAGCAGGUUCACCUGACGUCCGACGCCUUCUUCCAUCUCCAAAAAUCUUGUUUUUUGAGUUCAGUUCUUCGUCACAUGUUUCACUAGCUGAAAAAUGCAUGGUGUUCUGAAAUUGCUUGCGGACCACUAGCUGAAAUUGCUUGACGAACAGAGCAAAGGUUGUAUCUUCAUCUACUGUUUUUUCAGAUAUUCGUCAUAUGCACGAGCACGGCUAUAUUUGCUUGUUAUGAUCUAGUGGGCAGCAUUAACAUUUUGGUAGUCCUUCUGCAGGGCCCAAACCCACUGUCAUGCAAGAAAAAGAAAGCAAAGCCCCAACCA